AUGCCUAUUAGUUAGAAACGUGAUGCUCGCUAUUACGGAUCAAUGUAACGUAAUUUGGUCGGUUGCAAUAUAAUAUUUUAAUAUAUCCGGUCGAUUAAUAAAUUUGCAUCCCCGUCUGAUCUUCGUGAAAUCAAAUUUAUUGUUACAUUUAUUUGUUUCUUGCAACUUCUUCUUCUUGUCGUUUAUCUAUAUAAAUUAAUCGAGUAUAGGUUAAGUAUAAGUUUUAUUUUGUUUUAUCGACAAUUGUUUUAUAAGUGUAAUGUGAAUAAGCAAAGGAUGUUCGAGUGCGGGUCUCAUAUUUUUUUUAACUACAAAUGUUGUGAAAUUUCUUUCUAAAAAUAUAUAUAUAUAAUAAUGAUACGAUACUUAAUAAUAGCUAUACAUAAUCGAUGAUUGUCGGUAAAUUACGGAACAUCAAAGAGAAGGAAGCUAAAAAAAAAAGAAAAAAAGAAAAAAGAAAAAAUGAAACAAUCGUGCUUUCUUUUUGAAAACAAUCCAUUGAAUAUAAGCGUUACAAUGGACCUUCUGCCCGGCUAAAGAGUCCUCAUAAAACAACAGUUCAUCCAAACCGGAGAAAAAGAUUAUCGAAGAAGAGGGAAGAAAAGGAGAGGAGAGAACUGCUACAAUAUAACAAUAUGGCACCCUCCUGUGUGAUCGAGUGCCUCUUCGAUUAAGAGUGAAAUUUCAUUUUCCUCCUACUGUUAGAAUCAAAUUCUAUCAAUUAUUUAAAAUUCCUAUUCGUUGUGAGCGACUACAAAUCAUCUAAGAUGAUUAAUUAAUAAUUAAUUUGGACAAUCUUUUUUUCUGCAUCGUAUAAUUUAAAUUAUACAAAUGUUAAUAAAAAGAUCAAUGACUUGGGUACUUUUAUUUUGUCUAAAAGCAACAAUUUUUCAAAUAAUUCUCUUGUCCUCCACUGUUGUUAUUCAUUUUGUGUAACAAGUCGUAACACAAAAUUUGAAAAUUCAGUUGGUACGAGGAUAAGAAUAUCUCUAUCGCAAAAUGAAUUCAAAGAAAAAGGAAAAAAGAAAAAAACCACCGUUAAAUUCCACCACGAGAGAUGUAUACAUACGUGCAACAUAAAUUACAUGGUAUAAUGUAUAUGUAUAGUAUAUUAGUAGAAAGAAUGAAAAAGCAAGUAAGACCAACUGCCUUCGUCUGAGGUUAAAGAGGGGAGAAGCACGCGUCUGCCACGCUCCCAGUGUACACACCUGGGACCAGUUGGCUAGCGAGAGAAAUCUUUUUCACCCUAAAUACAAACAAUAACCAAUUAUUAACAAAUUACAACUGUAAAAUUGGAAAUAUUUUGGAAACGUAGAAACGAAAAAUCAUGAUUUGAAAUUACUUUUUAAAAUAAACAAAGGGAUAUUCCAUUUUGUCCAUGCGAUCUUGCAAUCUGGUCAUUUUCAAAAAUAUUAAAUCAACAGGAUGAAUACUUUGUUUUUCCACUUUUGUAUAUAAUAAGGUUUGAACGAACUCCUAUAAUUACGUGACGAAGGAAGUAAAAUUAUUCGAGCGAAUGUCCUUUCAAUUUCAAUGGAAGUCUUCCACUGAAAGAGCAACCGCUCGAAGUUCCUUCCUCCACAGGUUUCAAAGACGUUCAACACUAAAAAUACAUUGAAAUACUAUAAAUAUUUAAUUAUUUAUUACACUAUAUGAUAUAAUUCUUCACAAAUAAAAGAAGGAAAAACUUUUUAUAUUUUAAUUCAAUUAUUUUUAUUUAUUUUUAUUCUCAAUCCUACUAUUUCAAUAAUAAUACCUCUUUUUCUUUUCUAUUUUUAAAAUUAUUGACUUCAAAUUCGAGAAUAAUCAUUUCACCAUCCGGAUAUUUAUCUCGAAUCAUUCUC
Apis mellifera (honey bee) is the source of this 1844-nucleotide long non-coding RNA. RefSeq lists it as uncharacterized. The record is from RefSeq and is a predicted model, not a curated record. The transcript has 5 exons. Lineage: Eukaryota; Metazoa; Arthropoda; Insecta; Hymenoptera; Apidae.